CCUACGGGGGACAGCAGUGAGGAAUAUUGGUCAAUGGACGAGAGUCUGAACCAGCCAAGUCGCGUGAAGGAUGACUGCACUAUGGGUUGUAAACUUCUUUUAUAUGGGAAUAAACUGUUCCACGUGUGGGCUUUUGAAUGUACCUUAUGAAUAAGGAUCGGCUAACUCCGUGCCAGCAGCCGCGGUAAUACGGAGGAUCCGAGCGUUAUCCGGAUUUAUUGGGUUUAAAGGGAGCGUAGGCGGAGUGUUAAGUCAGGUGUUAAAGUUCGGGGCUCAACCGCAACACUGCAGUUGAAACUGGCAGUCUUGAGUACAGUAGAGGUGUGCGGAAUGCGUGGUGUAGCGGUGAAAUGCUUAGAUAUCACGAAGAACUCCGAUUGCGAAGGCAGUUCACUGGACUGCAACUGACACUGAGGCUCGAAAGUGUGGGUAUCAAACAGGAUUAGAUACCCUAGUAGUC
Molecule: ribosomal RNA, 460 nt
Filed under: uncultured bacterium
Lineage: Bacteria
Description: partial 16S ribosomal RNA
Rfam family: Bacterial small subunit ribosomal RNA
Source: RNAcentral